RNAcentral lists this long non-coding RNA (274 nucleotides) under Arachis ipaensis. RNAcentral's name for it is "long non-coding RNA (AIPA_LNC000369)". The record is from RNAcentral. Lineage: Eukaryota; Viridiplantae; Streptophyta; Magnoliopsida; Fabales; Fabaceae.
CGGAGGCCUAGCACGGAUGGCAUAUCUAUAUGCCUCUUACAAGCUGUAUCCAGAUUCAAAUCCCAACUGAGACAGGAUGUUGUUUAAAAAACCCAUAAUACCCAUAUAGCGUGUGUGGGUGUGUGAAAUAUGGGUGUAAUGUGAAUGUGUUGUUUAAAAAACCCAUAAUACCCAUAUAGCGUGUGUGGAUGUGUGAAAUAUGGGUGUAAUGUGAAUGUGUUGUGUAGGUGUGUGAAGUAUGGGUGUAAUAUGUUUAGAAUUGGAUGCUGNNNNN